AACGAGAAAGUGGAGCAAUCCACUGAGUACAUUGGCGACCGGGUGAGUAACACGUGAUCAACCUGCCCUCGAGUGGGGAAUAACUCCGGGAAACCGGAGCUAAUACCGCAUAAUAUCUUCGGUGCGUAGGUACUGAAGAUCAAAACAGUAAUGUGCUUGAGGAGGGGGUCGCUGGCUGAUUAGCUAGUUGGCAGGGUAAUGGCCUACCAAGGCAAAGAUCGGUAUCCGAGCCUGACAGGCGCGCACGGACACACUGGAACUGAAAUACGGUCCAGAAUCCUACGG
Molecule: ribosomal RNA, 285 nt
Filed under: uncultured Actinomycetales bacterium
Lineage: Bacteria; Bacillati; Actinomycetota; Actinomycetes; Actinomycetales
Description: partial 16S ribosomal RNA
Rfam family: Bacterial small subunit ribosomal RNA
Source: RNAcentral